GUGGGGAAUAUUGGACAAUGGGCGAAAGCCUGAUCCAGCCAUGCCGCGUGUGUGAAGAAGGUCUUCGGAUUGUAAAGCACUUUAAGUUGGGAGGAAGGGCAGUAAGUUAAUACCUUGCUGUUUUGACGUUACCGACAGAAUAAGCACCGGCUAACUUCGUGCCAGCAGCCGCGGUAAUACGAAGGGUGCAAGCGUUAAUCGGAAUUACUGGGCGUAAAGCGCGCGUAGGUGGUUUUGUAAGUGGGAGGUGAAAUCCCCGGGCGCAACCUGGGAACUGCCUCCAAAACUGCAUUACUAGAGUACGGUAGAGGGUAGUGGAAUUUCCUGUGUAGCGGUGAAAUGCGUAGAUAUAGGAAGGAACACCAGUGGCGAAGGCGACUACCUGGACUGAUACUGACACUGAGGUGCGAAAGCGUGGGGAGCAAACAGGAUUAGAUACCCCAGUAGUCC
This 450-nucleotide ribosomal RNA is filed under the name uncultured bacterium. RNAcentral describes it as "bacterial SSU rRNA". It matches the Rfam family "Bacterial small subunit ribosomal RNA", at positions 354 to 796 of the family's 1533-position model. The record is from RNAcentral.